CCAGCCACAGGGAAGGGGACUCGAACAUUGCUCGGAGAUAGCUCAGGCAAGGCGUCAAGGUGGGCAAGCAGGGUUCCACUCGAAAAUCGGGCUAGGCAGGUGCGCAAGGAGUAUGCUUCAGCUAGGACAAACCGGACAAUAGUUAGCAAAAGCGCGUGACAACCUCCGUGGAAGCAUAGAUACAACCUCGCAGGCGUAGAAGGGGGGGAUAACUGGUGAGAGAGGAUCUCG
This 231-nucleotide long non-coding RNA is filed under the name Zostera marina. Its description in RNAcentral is "long non-coding RNA (ZMAR_LNC005137)". Lineage: Eukaryota; Viridiplantae; Streptophyta; Magnoliopsida; Alismatales; Zosteraceae. The record is from RNAcentral.